UAGUCUUUUCGCUCCAUUCUAGCCAUACUGUUGAGACGGGGAACCGAGCGAAAAGACUA
RNAcentral lists this microRNA precursor (59 nucleotides) under Gadus morhua (Atlantic cod). Its description in RNAcentral is "microRNA gmo-mir-11204b precursor". The record is from miRBase by way of RNAcentral. Lineage: Eukaryota; Metazoa; Chordata; Actinopteri; Gadiformes; Gadidae.